Molecule: ribosomal RNA, 484 nt
Filed under: uncultured bacterium
Lineage: Bacteria
Description: partial 16S ribosomal RNA
Rfam family: Bacterial small subunit ribosomal RNA
Source: RNAcentral
AUUGUACGCUGGCGGCAUGCUUUACACAUGCAAGUCGAACGGCAGCGCGGGCUUCGGCCUGGCGGCGAGUGGCGAACGGGUGAGUAAUACAUCGGAACGUGCCCAGUAGUGGGGGAUAGCUCGGCGAAAGCCGGAUUAAUACCGCAUACGACCUGAGGGUGAAAGCGGGGGAUCUUCGGACCUCGCGCUAUUGGAGCGGCCGAUGGCAGAUUAGCUAGUUGGUGGGGUAAAGGCCUACCAAGGCGACGAUCUGUAGCUGGUCUGAGAGGACGACCAGCCACACUGGGACUGAGACACGGCCCAGACUCCUACGGGAGGCAGCAGUGGGGAAUUUUGGACAAAGGGCGAAAGCCUGAUCCAGCAAUGCCGCGUGUGUGAUGAAGGCCUUCGGGUUGUAAAGCACUUUUGGCGGGAACGAAAAGGACUGUGCCAAUACCACGGUUCGAUGACGGUACCCGCAGAAUAAGCACCGGCUAACUACGUG